Molecule: long non-coding RNA, 1108 nt
Organism: Alosa sapidissima (American shad)
Lineage: Eukaryota; Metazoa; Chordata; Actinopteri; Clupeiformes; Clupeidae
Exons: 3
Source: RefSeq, a predicted model, not a curated record
UAUAUCAUAUUAUGGCUCAUUCUGUGCCCCAUAGGUUGUUGACCUUGCACCGUCUCAGAUUUUGUUCAAACCUCGUCUAUAAUACCAUGAAUGGUCCAAAAACCAAGGCCAGUCAAAUAUUUAUUUUAUAAAAAUAUUCAUAUUUUUCAGCACUUGAUAUUUGUUUCAGUUGUUGUACAUCCUAAAAACACAUAUCUGGGAAGCAGUGUUUGGGCAUAUAUAUAAAAAAUAUAUAUUUUUUAAAGUAUUAUUCAUACCCAGCCCAAACUGUGUAAAGCAGAUGAACAGGUUCUCAGUAUGACUGAACAAUUAAAAGUUUGUAUGGCAUGCUCAAUGAUUUUCUCUAAAGGCCCUAGAUUUGAAAAAGUGCAAAACGAGUGACAUUGAGAGUAUAAACUUGAACACAUUUCAUAUCAAACACUAUUUCAUCAAUGUUGUUCCAAUAUUUGAGCUGUCCACAUAAAACAAACAUGACAACAAAACAAGAGAAGGUUAUGAUUUACUAGAAUGGUAGUGGGGUAGCUAGUACAUGAAAAUCUAUGUGGUAGUAGCUCAAUGUAUGGGUAUUUAGUGUGCAAAUGCCAAUACUGUAGAUAGAUAUACCGGUAGUUCAAAUAUUUGUUUUACCCCAGGGACAAGAAUGAGAAGGCAGAUCAAUGCAAGUGUACUAGGAAUAAAACACAGUGAAACACUGACACUUUGUAUACUGAGCUAUUCCCCCAUAGAUUUGUUGUGCUCCUAAUGGCUACCCCACAUGGCAUUUUUAGUCCUAUGAAAAUGACCAAAACAUGCAAUUAUAAUUAUACUUAAUAUCUUCAUGUGUUUUUUUGAUAAUAAUAAUCUCCAGGGUAAGGCAUUUUUGAGUGUACAAAUGUUUUUUUAAGGAUGAAAAAUCUGAGACAGUGUGGAGACCAUUUUCCUGGAUUCUGUCUGAUUUUACACAGAAUAACCCGCAAGAUAACUGCCCAAUUAUAGAAGUUCUGAUAAGAAUUAGACAAUUUCACCAUGUGUCUUCAUUGUUCUUGCCUAAACAAGAGCCUAAAAUUGGUUUGAGCAUUAUUGCUAUGUUAAGGGUUUUUGGAUGGUGUGUGAAAUUGGCCUUCUUCUG